Triticum dicoccoides is the source of this 1942-nucleotide long non-coding RNA. RefSeq lists it as uncharacterized. The record is from RefSeq and is a predicted model, not a curated record. The transcript has 8 exons. NCBI's taxonomy places the organism in Eukaryota, Viridiplantae, Streptophyta, Magnoliopsida, Poales, Poaceae.
GUCUAGAGAUGAUUUACUCUGCCAGGCGGCAGCACUCAAAGCACACAGGAUCCUGAACCUCAACAACAACCCCUACUUUUCUGGCCCUAAUGUUGCAACGGCCGUGACAGCGUCGAGGCUCGGGCAUGUGGCCGUCGACGUGGAGCAGGCAGAGGAGAAGCGACUACUACCCCAACGGCAGCCUCUUCUCCCUUGUCCAUGGUACAUAUCAUUUGAUUUGCUGCCUCACAAUUUCCCUCGGCUGGCUUGCGUGUGCAGGUACUAAUCUUGGUGUGAGCUCAAGGUAAAAGGCAAAGCCUGAAGGUUGGCAAUCAUCAUUAGCUAGGUAGUUAUAGAUGGUCUGCUUACUUAGCAUAAUUUGGAAGUAUUAAAUACAGUACUCAAUAUUAGUUGUCUUUUGAAAAAUAUGCCAGUCUUGUUUGUCGCAUACAUAUUAUUAAUCUAGAAGAAACCAAGAGCAGACACUCACACUUUGGUCGAACCCACAUUUUAAACCUGGGAUAAGUAGAUAUCAGUUGUACUUAAUGGUUAUAAAUAUGUUUUUUCCCAAUAUCUGAAGUAUUGCGACGGAGCGAGAUAUCUGAAUACCACCAGCAAUUAUUACUGUUUCUUGCACAAUUCAAAGAACUUAACAUUUAUCCUGAAAGUAAUCAUAAAUCAAUGGUAGAUAGAAUCACAACUAAUUAAAAUAACCUCGUGCUAUUUAUUUCUUAUAGUAUUGGAAGUUUUGUUAGUGUCCAUGCAUCUGCAUACCAAGAUGUGAUAUUUUCCAAUUGAAAGGUAGCAAUGUGUAAAGUUAAAUGAUUCCAUACAGUUAACUUCGGGGAUAGUCUAAUGGUUAUUUUAACUUAAUUGACUUGGUAAUUUAUGCACUUACCUCAUCUCAUCAUGCAAAUAUAACCCACGGUAUUGUACAGUGGUAGCCCAACUCCAUAUCACCUCGACCCCUCCUUCUCGACUUCUUCACGCAUGCACAGGUAAAGUGGCGGGUUGGCGCAAGUCUUUGAGCUGCGAUGCGGAGCACACUGCAGAGUGGCACGACGUACAAAGAGCUUUGCUGCUCGCAGGACCAGGAGUGCAGCAGCACGGGGGUGCUGGGAGAUGGACGCAGGCCAAGAAAAGGACCAUGACCGUACCAAGGAGGUGAUGAACACAACAAACAGCCGGUGUUCAGGGUGUGUUUCUUUUGUUCCCUGAAUCUCUCUCAUGUCAAUAGCUUCUCAUGAUGGAGCACAAGGCCCUGUUGCAGUUAGCCCUGGAAAUGUUAGCUCUGUCGUCCGCGUCCAGGCCACCUUCUCUUAUUUGUCCCUUUCUCUCCGCUCCGUCCCUUUCCGCUAGAUCCGACGCCCUUCCGGCUUGUCGUUGCCUUGUCGCCGUGACAAAGGAGCAACUGAAAACCAAAGGAGCCCCGCCUUUCCCGCAUGCACGUGCGCGAUGCGUCUCGCCGCCGCCAUCUUCGGUCCCCGUCCCCUGCUCCGCCUCCUCCGCCACGCCCCCCACCGCGAGCCCGCGUCAUCUGUCAUGGCCCACGCCACGAGAUCCGUCAUCCAAUGCGCGCUGUCACUCCUCCUUCUAUGCCCACUGCUGGUGCUCCCCCGUCGCUCCUCCUCCUCCAUCGUGAGGCGCUGCACUUGGCCGCAGUUCUACUCCAGGGUUAGGAUUUUCUAUUGGAUUGGUGACUGUUCUGAGCUGGUAAUAUGUCAUGCUCGGCCAUCCCGUUGCAGGUUGCCACCAAUGAGAAUACAGCCAGUGGACUGGUUUUGCUUGUCAGCAACCAAAACAAGAACAAGUCAAUUCUUAUCUGUACAUAUUCAAUUUGUGGAUGGUUGGAGGCUCUGUGUUCAUGGCUUAUAUGGGUCAUCUUUAUAUCUGGGCCAUGGUGGUUGUGAUUCAAAUGUUUAUGGAAACAAAGCUUUUUAACCUAUUGUAUGAUGUCUUAUAG